Molecule: ribosomal RNA, 332 nt
Filed under: uncultured Pseudomonadota bacterium
Lineage: Bacteria; Pseudomonadati; Pseudomonadota
Description: bacterial SSU rRNA
Rfam family: Bacterial small subunit ribosomal RNA
Source: RNAcentral
CGCGUAGGCGGUUAGGUAAGUCGAUUGUGAAAUCCCCGGGCUCAACCUGGGAAUUGCAGUCGAGACUGUCUGACUAGAGUGUAGGAGAGGGUGGUGGAAUUCCCGGUGUAGCGGUGAAAUGCGUAGAUAUCGGGAGGAACAUCAGUGGCGAAGGCGACCACCUGGCCUAACACUGACGCUGAGGUGCGAAAGCGUGGGUAGCAAACAGGAUUAGAUACCCUGGUAGUCCACGCCGUAAACGAUGUCGACUAGCCGUUGGAGACCUUAGAGUCUUUAGUGGCGUAGCUAACGCACUAAGUCGACCGCCUGGGGAGUACGGCCGCAAGGUUAAA